GCGCCCCCAGACUCCAGCCUCCAGCCCCGAGGCAGGAGGCAGGGAGCAGCAGCAGAGGCAGGAGGAGGACGAGGAGGAGGAGGAGGAGGAGCCGUCGCAGGAUGAAGGAUCGGACUCAGGAGCUGCGGAGUGCUAAAGACAGUGAUGAUGAAGAGGAGGUGGUCCACGUGGAUCGCGACCACUUCAUGGACGAGUUCUUUGAACAGGUGGAAGAGAUCCGGGGCUGCAUUGAGAAACUGUCAGAGGAUGUGGAGCAAGUGAAAAAACAGCACAGUGCCAUCCUGGCCGCCCCCAAUCCAGAUGAGAAGACCAAACAGGAGCUGGAGGACCUCACCGCAGACAUCAAGAAGACGGCCAACAAGGUUCGCUCCAAGUUGAAAGCAAUCGAACAAAGCAUUGAACAAGAGGAGGGGCUGAACCGUUCCUCGGCGGACCUGCGCAUCCGCAAGACCCAGCACUCCACACUCUCCCGGAAGUUCGUGGAAGUAAUGACCGAAUAUAACGCGACCCAGUCCAAGUACCGGGACCGCUGCAAGGACCGGAUCCAGCGGCAGCUGGAGAUCACUGGAAGGACCACCACGAACGAGGAACUGGAAGACAUGCUGGAGAGCGGGAAGUUGGCCAUCUUCACCGAUGAUAUCAAAAUGGACUCACAGAUGACGAAGCAGGCACUGAAUGAGAUUGAGACGAGGCACAAUGAGAUCAUCAAACUGGAAACCAGCAUCCGAGAGCUGCAUGACAUGUUUGUGGACAUGGCCAUGCUUGUGGAAAGCCAGGGUGAGAUGAUUGACCGCAUUGAGUACAACGUGGAACAUUCCGUGGACUAUGUGGAGCGAGCUGUGUCCGACACCAAGAAAGCUGUGAAAUACCAGAGCAAGGCCCGGAGGAAGAAAAUCAUGAUCAUCAUUUGCUGUGUGGUGCUGGGGGUGGUCUUGGCGUCAUCCAUUGGGGGGACGCUGGGCUUGUAGGCCCCCCCACCCCUGUCUCUCCCAGACCCUUCCCCCACCACAUUGGGAGCAAUACCCCCACAACCCCUUUCACUCCAUCCCCUGCUCCAGGCUCACCCCCAAGACAGACCCAGGCAGCCCCCCUUCCCCACUUCCUGUCAGACCCCAGAGUCCCCGGACCUCCCCCCCCACCCGCCACGGACCACCCCCGCACGUAGACAGCAGCAGGCGUGAUUAUACACGCACACCCACAUGCGUGCCGCCAGAACAUGCUCAAGACGUGUGGACACCCCAGCGUGUGUGUGUGUGUGCGUGCGUACAUGUGUGUAGAAACCCCAAACCCCCCUUCUGCCCCCCUCCCAGUCUAUGUGUCAUCUGAGCUUUCCCCCUUCACUUGGGUUGUUGUGUGUGGACUGUGGCCAGGUGUAACACAGCAACCCUGCUCUGUCUUCUGUGAACAGGGGUGUGUGUGUGUGUGUGUGUGUGUGUGUGUGUGUCAGAGACAGAGACAGGGAGACUAUGCACAUGUGGCCUUCCAGAACACAGUACCCCUCCGGCCCCCACCCCAGCUCACGUGGCUGGCCCCAUUCCUACUUAAGCUGUUCGAGCCCUGUGUGAGGCCCAUCUAUGUAACAGCCCCUAAGGUGGGCUCUGUUGUGGAGGGGAGCCUGCCCGUCCCUUCCAAGGGUGUCCUUCAGCAGGACGGGAAGUUUGCCCCAGUAUCUAAUUACAGCCCUCCUCCCAUCUCAGGCUUCUCUGGGGACAUCAGAACAGGCCCCAGCACCCCCACCCUUUUUCCUUCCUGCCUCUGGCGCCAGGACACCCUUGCAGCCCAGGUGUUUCCGGAAUUCCCACCGCCUUCGGGGCCACAAGCAGGAGGGCAGAGCCAUGUCUGGAGGGAUGCUGUGGCCUCCUGGAGUGGUAUUGGGCCCAUGGCUGCCCAUCUCUGGGCAGUUGGACUGGAGGUUCAUCAAGGGUCUGCUGGGUCCCAGCUUCUUCAAGUCCCGCACAUCGUGUGAGGGCAGCUUGUUGGCUGCUGUGUCUGUAUGGGUCCUGGAACGUCGUCUGGGGGCUGGUGUCUCAUGCAUGUUCUCGGACAAGUGUGUGCUGCUCCCCCUCCACGCGCCUACAGCCACCAAGCCCACGAGUGACCUGUGGGUGGUCCUGGGCCUGGCCGGGGCUCGCUGCUUCCCCUUCCCCCAAGCCCUGCCUCUCUCAAAGCACACUGCGUGUCCAUCCCAUGUGCCUGUGGGUCGAUGCACGCUCUUGCCACGCCUUGAGCGUGUGUACAUGAUGUGUUCUAUGCAUUCACCCUGUCCCCCAAGCCCGCCCCGCAGAGGACAUGAUGGGUGGCCCCCGGCUCCCUUCUCCCCCCACCCCGCCCCCUGCCCGCUGUGCAGCCGUGUGCGUUGGCGUGUGUUUCCUUGUCGCUGGCGUGUCACGUGAUGUAGCCGUGUUUGCUGACAUGAGCCCUUGCCCCUUCUGUUUCUCUGUUGGUUUCUAGAGCUCUUUCCCUCUCCUCCCAGGAGGGGACAGGACUCCUGGGGCCUGGCUGGGGGCCCAGAGCCAGGCCACCCUCUCCUGUUAGCCCUCAGAGUCCCAUUUCUCUCUAUUGGUGACCAAGUUGCAAAUGGAUAAAACACAGGAAAAUUCUGCCCCCCCCACCCCGCCCUGCAUGUCCUGUCCCCAGAGCCCCCCACCCCCACCCCGGGCUGGGUUGGGCCCUGUGGGACGGGAGAAAUAGCAACCAAUCCAACAGCGGG
Molecule: RNA transcript, 2710 nt
Organism: Lutra lutra (Eurasian river otter)
Lineage: Eukaryota; Metazoa; Chordata; Mammalia; Carnivora; Mustelidae
Gene: STX1B
Gene name: syntaxin 1B
Exons: 11
Source: RefSeq, a predicted model, not a curated record